Molecule: ribosomal RNA, 309 nt
Filed under: uncultured bacterium
Lineage: Bacteria
Description: bacterial SSU rRNA
Rfam family: Bacterial small subunit ribosomal RNA
Source: RNAcentral
GAUGAACGCUGGCGGCGUGCUUAACACAUGCAAGUCGAACGGACAAGAUGAAACCUAGUGAUUCUUGUUAGUGGCGGACGGGUGAGUAACGCGUGGGCAACCUGCCUCAUACAGGGGGAUAACACUUAGAAAUAGGUGCUAAUACCGCAUAAGCGCACAGUACCACAUGGUACCGUGUGAAAAACUCCGGUGGUAUGAGAUGGACCCGCGUCUGAUUAGCUAGUUGGCAGGGUAACGGCCUACCAAGGCGACGAUCAGUAGCCGACCUGAGAGGGUGAUCGGCCACAUUGGGACUGAGACACGGCCCAG